Molecule: unclassified non-coding RNA, 351 nt
Filed under: uncultured fungus
Lineage: Eukaryota; Fungi
Description: sequence contains ITS2
Source: RNAcentral
AACGCAUAUUGCACUCUUUGGUAUUCCGAAGAGUAUGCUUGUUUGAGUAUCUGUAAACAACUCAAGCCUCUUUUAUUGUUACACAAGAAAAAGGGGCUUGGACUUGAGCGAUCCUGUGUGACUUUGUCACGAAAAUUGCACGGGCCGCUUGAAAUUCAGGUACAAAAGGAUCAACUUCUGAGCUAAAAGCAUAUUCAUUUAGUCCCGUAAAAAAGGAUUAUAUUUUUUGCUUCAGCUAACAUAAAGGUUGAUGAUCUAUAUUUUUGUCGAAUCGCAGAAACCUCGUCUUUUACAUUAGUAGAGACUUGUAAACUCGAUCUCAAAUCAAGUAAGACUACCCGCUGAACUUAA